GUGCUCACUUUGGCAGCACAUAUAUUAAAACUGGAGCCAUACAAGAGAAGAUUAGCAUGGCCCCUGGGCAAGGAUGACAUGCAAAUUUGUGAAGCAUUCUUUUUU
Camelus dromedarius (Arabian camel) is the source of this 105-nucleotide small nuclear RNA. NCBI's taxonomy places the organism in Eukaryota, Metazoa, Chordata, Mammalia, Artiodactyla, Camelidae. The record is from Ensembl.